This 449-nucleotide ribosomal RNA is filed under the name uncultured bacterium. RNAcentral describes it as "partial 16S ribosomal RNA". It matches the Rfam family "Bacterial small subunit ribosomal RNA", at positions 29 to 523 of the family's 1533-position model. The record is from RNAcentral.
AACGAACGCUGGCGGCAUGCCUAACACAUGCAAGUCGAACGGGACCUUCGGGUCUAGUGGCGCACGGGUGCGUAACGCGUGGGAAUCUACCCUUGGGUUCGGAAUAACAGUUAGAAAUGACUGCUAAUACCGGAUGAUGACGUAAGUCCAAAGAUUUAUCGCCCAAGGAUGAGCCCGCGUAAGAUUAGCUUGUUAGUGGGGUAAUGGCCUACCAAGGCGACGACCUUUAGCUGGUCUGAGAGGAUGAUCAGCCACACUGGGACUGAGACACGGCCCAGACUCCUACGGGAGGCAGCAGUGGGGAAUAUUGGACAAUGGGCGAAAGCCUGAUCCAGCAAUGCCGCGUGAGUGAUGAAGGCCUUAGGGUUGUAAAGCUCUUUUACCAGGGAUGAUAAUGACAGUACCUGGAGAAUAAGCUCCGGCUAACUCCGUGCCAGCCGCCGCGGUAA